AGGGAGAAAUGGGACAGCCAG
RNAcentral lists this unclassified non-coding RNA (21 nucleotides) under Mus musculus (house mouse). Its description in RNAcentral is "oocyte_clustered_small_RNA10518". Lineage: Eukaryota; Metazoa; Chordata; Mammalia; Rodentia; Muridae. The record is from RNAcentral.